RNAcentral lists this ribosomal RNA (414 nucleotides) under uncultured microorganism. Its description in RNAcentral is "bacterial SSU rRNA". It matches the Rfam family "Archaeal small subunit ribosomal RNA", at positions 459 to 872 of the family's 1478-position model. The record is from RNAcentral.
CAGCAGCCGCGGUAAUACCGGCGGCCCGAGUGGCGGUCACUAUUAUUGGGCUUAAAGCGUCCGUAGCCGGGUUGGGAAGUCCUCCGGGAAAUCUGGCCGCUUAACGGUCAGAAUGCCGGAGGAUACUCCCAGCCUAGGGAGCGGGAGAGGCCGAGGGGAUUCCCGGAGUAGGGGUGAAAUCCUAUAAUCCCGGGAGGACCACCUGUGGCGAAGGCGCCCGGCUGGAACGCGUCCGACGGUGAGGGACGAAGGCCAGGGGAGCGAACCGGAUUAGAUACCCGGGUAGUCCUGGCUGUAAACGAUGCGGACUAGGUGUCGGGCAAGCUAAGGGCUUGUCCGGUGCCGCAGGGAAGCCGUUAAGUCCGCCGCCUGGGGAGUACGGCCGCAAGGCUGAAACUUAAAGGAAUUGGCGGG